AUUGAACGCUGGCGGCAUGCCUAACACAUGCAAGUCGAGCGGAUGAAGGGAGCUUGCUCCUGGAUUCAGCGGCGGACGGGUGAGUAAUGCCUAGGAAUCUGCCUGGUAGUGGGGGAUAACGUCCGGAAACGGGCGCUAAUACCGCAUACGUCCUGAGGGAGAAAGUGGGGGAUCUUCGGACCUCACGCUAUCAGAUGAGCCUAGGUCGGAUUAGCUAGGUGGUGGGGUAAAGGCCUACCAAGGCGACUAUCCGUAACUGGUCUGAGAGGACGAUCAGUCACACUGGAACUGAGACACGGUCCAGACUCCUACGGGAGGCAGCAGUGGGGAAUAUUGGACAAUGGGCGAAAGCCUGAUCCAGCCAUGCCGCGUGUGUGAAGAAGGUCUUCGGAUUGUAAAGCACUUUAAGUUGGGAGGAAGGAAAGUAAGUUAAUACCUUGCUGUUUUGACGUUACCAACAGAAUAAGCACCGGCUAACUUCGUG
This 484-nucleotide ribosomal RNA is filed under the name uncultured bacterium. RNAcentral describes it as "partial 16S ribosomal RNA". It matches the Rfam family "Bacterial small subunit ribosomal RNA", at positions 30 to 507 of the family's 1533-position model. The record is from RNAcentral.